Molecule: ribosomal RNA, 658 nt
Filed under: Flavobacteriaceae bacterium
Lineage: Bacteria; Pseudomonadati; Bacteroidota; Flavobacteriia; Flavobacteriales; Flavobacteriaceae
Description: partial 23S ribosomal RNA
Rfam family: Bacterial large subunit ribosomal RNA
Source: RNAcentral
GUGUGUGGUGGGUAGUUUGACUGGGGUGGUCGCCUCCUAAAAAGUAACGGAGGCUUGCAAAGGUACCCUCAGCAUGGUCGGUAAUCAUGCGUAGAGCAUAUUAGUAUAAGGGUGCUUGACUGAGAGAGGGACGCCUCGAACAGGUACGAAAGUAGGCUAAAGUGAUCCGGUGGUUCCGUAUGGAAGGGCCAUCGCUCAAAGGAUAAAAGGUACUCCGGGGAUAACAGGCUGAUCUCCCCCAAGAGCUCACAUCGACGGGGAGGUUUGGCACCUCGAUGUCGGCUCGUCACAUCCUGGGGCUGGAGAAGGUCCCAAGGGUUGGGCUGUUCGCCCAUUAAAGUGGCACGCGAGCUGGGUUCAGAACGUCGCAAGACAGUUCGGUCUCUAUCUGUUGUGGGCGUAGGAAUAUUGAGGAGAUCUGACACUAGUACGAGAGGACCGUGUUGGACAAACCUCUAGUGUACCAGUUGUGCCGCCAGGUGCAUUGCUGGGUAGCUAUGUUUGGCAAGGAUAAGCGCUGAAAGCAUCUAAGCGCGAAGCCUACUCCAAGAUGAGUAUUCCCUAAGGGUCGUUCAAGAUUAGGACGUUGAUAGGUCAUAGGUGGAAGUGCAGUGAUGUAUGUAGCCGAGUGAUACUAAUUACCCAUGAGCUUCCUUUU